AUCUGUAGCCUUUCAGAAGGUGAGCAGGUUAGUACUUGGUUGAGAAACCACUUGGGAAUUCCAGGUGCUAUAGGGC
Molecule: ribosomal RNA, 76 nt
Filed under: Salvator merianae (Argentine black and white tegu)
Lineage: Eukaryota; Metazoa; Chordata; Lepidosauria; Squamata; Teiidae
Source: RNAcentral